Salmo salar (Atlantic salmon) is the source of this 54-nucleotide non-coding RNA. The record is from Rfam. Lineage: Eukaryota; Metazoa; Chordata; Actinopteri; Salmoniformes; Salmonidae.
AACUGCACUUACUGUAAGUCACUCUGGAUAAGAGUGUCUGCUAAAUGACAAAAA